GCAUUAGUGGUGUAAUGGUUAACAUGUAGUCUUCCCAUUAUUUUCUAAGUGAACAAUUUAUGGCCGCGUUCGGGGUUCGAUUCCCCGCUAAUGCA
RNAcentral lists this transfer RNA (95 nucleotides) under Armillaria gallica. RNAcentral's name for it is "tRNA-Gly". It matches the Rfam family "tRNA". Rfam says of the family: Transfer RNA (tRNA) molecules are approximately 80 nucleotides in length. Lineage: Eukaryota; Fungi; Basidiomycota; Agaricomycetes; Agaricales; Physalacriaceae. The record is from RNAcentral.